Molecule: non-coding RNA, 927 nt
Organism: Peromyscus maniculatus bairdii (prairie deer mouse)
Lineage: Eukaryota; Metazoa; Chordata; Mammalia; Rodentia; Cricetidae
Source: RefSeq, a predicted model, not a curated record
AUGAAAUCAAGUUCUAAAGAGAAAAGGUUCAUUCGGGUUCAUGGUUUCGGAAACAUCAGUCCAGAAUCAGCUGUCUGUCACUGUGAGCCUGUGCGGAAGUCUCCCAUUGUGGCUGAAGGGGAGGCGCAGCAGAGCCAACUGGGAGAGACCCAGUGGGUGACCGCUGCUGCCAUGAACCCUGAGUAUGACUACCUGUUCAAGCUGCUUUUGUUUGGCGACUCGGGCAUGGGCAAGUCUGCCUGCUCCUGUGGUUUGCUAAUGACACGUACACAGAGAGCUAUAUCAGCACUGUUGGGGUGGACUUCAAAAUCCGAACCAUUGAGCCAGAGGGCAAAACCAUCAAACUUCGUAUUUGGGACACAGCUCAUCAGGAAGAGUUCCGGACCAUCACUUCCAGCUACUACAGGGGGGCUCACGGCGUCAUCGUGGUGUAUGACGUCACUGACUAGAAAUCCUAUGCUAAUUUGAAACAGUGGCUACAGGAGAUAGAUCGCUAUGCCAGUGAGAACGUCAAUAAACUCCUGCCUGGUAGGCAACCAAGAAGGUCAUGGACAACACCACAGCCAAGGAAUUUGCAGACUCUUUGGGUAUCCCCUUCCUGGAGACCAGUGCCAAGAAUGCCACCAAUGUUGAGUAAGCAUUCAUGAUGAUGUCUGUAGAGAUCAAAAAGCAGAUGGAGCCAGGAGCAGCUUCUGGGGGUGAACAGCCCAACCUCAAGAUCGACAGCACCCCUGUGAAUCUAGCUAGUGGUGGCUGUUGCUAGGAGGGGCAUUUCGGGAAGGGACACCUUCUCCAGAUGAAGCCCCUGGAGGGGUCAGGAAGUGCCUUCUUCUCCUAGGGCAUUUGAGUCUGUGGCUUUGGGGUGUCCUGGGCUCCCCAUCGUGCUCUGGCCCAUCUGCCUUCUGCUCUGAGUCCCAGUUCUGUCAG